Long non-coding RNA from Anneissia japonica, 561 nucleotides. RefSeq lists it as uncharacterized. The transcript is spliced from 3 exons. Lineage: Eukaryota; Metazoa; Echinodermata; Crinoidea; Comatulida; Comatulidae. The record is from RefSeq and is a predicted model, not a curated record.
GAUGAAAUUAGGUUAAAGAUUGUGGGAACCAGGGUAGAUGCCUCAGAUAUUUUUGCAAUUGGAUCACUCAUGGAUGAUUACCUCGGUCUUGUGAGCUAGAAGCUUUUGUUAUUAUUCGUAGGAAAUAUCAUCCCUGCUGAAAAGUUGUUACUAUGACAGCAAUUGAUGGAUUCCUGUCAGAUAGAGAUAAUGGCAACCAGUGAUAUUGUCACAGAUUUGAACUAGGCCAUUAACAAGCGGAUGUAAAUAUUGUGCUGCUUAGCAAAUUCUCUGAUGGGAAUCAUUGCAAAGAAUAGAACUUCUACAUGUAAAUGUCAAAGACUCAAAGCCUAUGUUACUAAUAACAAGAUGUGACAUACAUGUGUAAUGUGCUUUUGAAUCGAUGCACAAAGGCCUUGUUAUACUUCUUUUGUACUUGUUUGUUACAGUAUUUAUAUUCAAAGUUCUAAUUUAGGAUUAUAAUUACUUGUGCAGGACGAAGAAGACAGAUCAAAGCAAUGUGGAUGAAUAUUGUAUGUUGAGUGCCUGAUAGAGUGAAUAAAGAGAAAAAUAGAAAAUGUG